UCUCUGUGGACGACGUCGAGUCAUCAUGGCCCUUACGGGUUGGGCUACACACGUGCUACAAUGGCAUCUACAGUGAGUUAAUCUCCAAAAGAUGUCUCAGUUCGGAUUGGGGUCUGCAACUCGACCCCAUGAAGUUGGAAUCGCUAGUAAUCGCGGAACAGCAUGCCGCGGUGAAUACGUUCCCGGGCCUUGUACACACCGCCCGUCACGCCAUGGGAAUUGGGUCUACCCGAAGGUGGUGCGCCAACUCUUUAUAGGGGCAGCCAACCACGGUAGGUUCAGUGACUGGGGUGAAGUCGUAACCAGGUAGCCGUCUCAAUUCCCGCGGAR
Molecule: ribosomal RNA, 330 nt
Filed under: uncultured Flavobacteriaceae bacterium
Lineage: Bacteria; Pseudomonadati; Bacteroidota; Flavobacteriia; Flavobacteriales; Flavobacteriaceae
Description: bacterial SSU rRNA
Rfam family: Bacterial small subunit ribosomal RNA
Source: RNAcentral